UACGUAGGGUGCAAGCGUUGUCCGGAAUUAUUGGGCGUAAAGAGCUCGUAGGCGGUUUGUCGCGUCGGCUGUGAAAACCUGGGGCUCAACCCCGGGCCUGCAGCCGAUACGGGCAAACUAGAGUUCGGCAGGGGAGACUGGAAUUCCUGGUGUAGCGGUGAAAUGCGCAGAUAUCUGGAGGAACACCGGUGGCGAAGGCGGCAUCCUGGACCAAUUCUGACACUGAGGAGCGAAAGCCAGGGGAGCAAACGGG
RNAcentral lists this ribosomal RNA (253 nucleotides) under uncultured bacterium. RNAcentral's name for it is "partial 16S ribosomal RNA". It matches the Rfam family "Bacterial small subunit ribosomal RNA", at positions 524 to 776 of the family's 1533-position model. The record is from RNAcentral.